UUUUUUUUUUUUUUUUUUUUUUUUCUUUCUGCUUUUUAAGGCCGCACCUGAGGCAUAUGGAAGUUCCCAGGCUAGAUGUCGAAUCAGAGCUCCAGCCUACAGCCACAGCCACAGCAACACAGGAUCCGAGCCAAGUCUGUGACCUAAACCACAGCUCGUGGCAAUGCCAGAUCCUUAACCCAUUGAACGAGGCCAGGGAGCUAACCCGCAACCUUAUGGUUCCCAGUCGGAUUCGUUUCCACUGUGCCAAAACAGGAACUCCUGAUUCUGUCAUUUCUAAAUUUCAUUAUUGACUUUUGCCUUCAGUAACAAAUCACAGUGCAGUUUUGCACUAUAGUGAGCCCAAAGGCCCUGAAGGAAUCAAAGCUUCAUCUUACCUCACGUGCUCAUCCAAUUCCCAGAGACAGCAAGUGACUCACCCACCAGCACACUUUUCAUACUCCAACCAACCCAGAGCCCACACCACCACCCUCACAAUCUGGGUCACUCUCCCCCUAUCCUAAUCACCCCAGAGCCAGUUCCCACACAGCUUGGGUCAGCCCCUAUAUCCCGAUGAAACUAUUCCAAUUAGCCAAUUCUAAGCCUCAUUACCAUGCCUCACACAUUCCCUCCUGCAGAAACCACAAUAAAGACUCUUGCCAACACUUCCUCCUCUUCCUCCCUCUCUCUGCCUCCUGACUAACCCUGGUACUUCCCCAUGUGGCCCUUCAUGGCCUGGCAUCUCUCCAGUUUUUAGGGAACUGUGAGUAUCAACUUCUUCCUUUAUGGCCAUCAUUUCUGUGUCUGUGUGUCUUACCAAAUCUGAUGAAAACAAAUCUCAGGAACCUUUACAGCAAUUGGCACAGUGAGCGGGAAUGGUUACAAACUGCUCUUUGCUUACUAAGGGAUCCACCAGACAGCACCCAUGGCCAGGAGCCUGCCCUGUGCUGGCUUCUGCCUCAGGUUGCUUUUUGCAGGGUGUUGCUACGUAUUCCCAACCUAAACUUUGCAUGCUGAAAACUAAGUCCUCCUCAAGCUGCUGCAUAGGCCACAGAAUCAAGUGUCUGGGACUGAGUGCCCACGGGCACUCAACAUCUUUCUCCAAGCAGGUGAAGCGUCGGGUCCAGGACAGAGUGCCUGGGGUGUAUAUGGAACCAGAUACAUCAGCUUCUCAAAAAGGAGUGACUACCUUCCUGGUGCCAUGGGACAAGUCUGAUCUGAUCCAUGGGCUGGGCAGCAUUGACCAUGGGUGGGGCCAACUGAGUCAUUUAUAGAAAAUGCCUACUGGAGUUCCCGUGGUGGCCAGGCAGGUUAAGGACCCAACUAGCAUCCAUGAGGACAUGUGUUUGAUCCCUGGCCCCAUUCAGUGGGUUAAGGAUAUGAUGUUGCUGCAAGCUGUGGCAUGGGUCGCAGAUAUGGCUUGAACCUGGCGUUGCUGUGGCUGUGGUGUAGGCCGGCCGCUGCAGCCCCAAUUUGACCCCUAGCCCAGGAACUUCCAAAUGUCGCAGGUGCGGCCCUAAACAGCAAAAAGAAAAAAGAAAAAAGAAAAAAAAGUGCCUAUGGUCUAGGAUGUUAUGUGCUCCUGGGGCACCUGAUAAACCACCUCCCUUUCUCCCUCUGAGCUUUGCAGAGUCAAAACUCUGGCCUGUCCUGCGGAGAAGUGGGAGAUUCUCCACCUACACACUCCCGUCUGCAUCACAGGCCAUUCAUGGGCAUAAGGGUAUCCUCCUCAGGACGUCCUGUAAAUGUCAUUGCUUGGGUUGCAAAACCUCUCUGCCGCUGUCUGCUUACUACUGCGGCCAUUUGUCCUCUGACCCAAUGGGCUCUCAGGGCCCAUCCCUGGAGACCAGUGGCUCAACAUUUAACAGGGGAAAGGACAGGAACAUCUGGGUCCAGCUCUCCCAGAACCCCGAGGACGGGGUCCAAGUUAUGUUCACAGGCAGCAAGCCUGACCCGAGAAAGGUGUGAUUACCAGAAGUCCAGAUGGCUCAGAAAUGAGUAUUUGGGUUACACCACCAGGUAAGCCUCAAGAUCUGCUAAGGCUAUGGCUGAGGAUGAAGACAGUUUAGAAUGGAUACAAGUCAACAAACAACAAAUGCUAGAGAGGGUGUGGAGAAAAGGGUACCCUCCUACACUGCUGGUGGGAAUGUAAAUUGGUACAACCACUAUGAAAAACAGUAUGGAGAUACCUCAGAAAACUAAACACGAAACUAUCAUACAAUCUAGCAACCCGACUCUUGGGCAUACAUCUGGACAAAACAUUCCUUGAAAAAGACACACGUACCUGUAUGUUCAUUGUAGCACUAUCUGUGAUAGCCAAAACAUGGCAACAACCUGAAUGUCCAUCAACAGAUGAAUGGAUUAAGAAGAUGCAGUGUACACACACACACACACACACACACACAAUGGAAUACUACUCAGCCACAAAAAGAACAAAAUAAUGCCAUCUGCAGCAACAUGGAUGGAACGAGAGACUCUCAUACUAAGUGAAUUAACCGGCAGCUGUAGCUCUGAUGAGACCCCUAGCCUGGGAAUCUCCAUAUGCCGCAGGUGCAGCCCUAAAAAG
RNAcentral lists this long non-coding RNA (2545 nucleotides) under Sus scrofa (pig). RNAcentral describes it as "lncRNA (ENSSSCG00030039065.1)". The record is from RNAcentral. Lineage: Eukaryota; Metazoa; Chordata; Mammalia; Artiodactyla; Suidae.